This 419-nucleotide long non-coding RNA is filed under the name Rattus norvegicus (Norway rat). RNAcentral describes it as "long non-coding RNA NONRATT005896". The record is from RNAcentral. Lineage: Eukaryota; Metazoa; Chordata; Mammalia; Rodentia; Muridae.
UCAUGUAUGAUGGGCUGGAUGCUGUGGGUGUGGAUCAGCAGCCCAUCAUGAACCACAACCCCUGGAUGCUGCUAUACUUCAUCUCCUUCCUCCUCAUCGUGGCCUUCUUUGUCCUGAACAUGUUUGUGGGCGUGGUGGUGGAGAACUUCCAUAAGUGCAGACAGCACCAGGAGGAGGAGGAGGCGAGGCGGCGUGAGGAGAAGCGACUACGGAGGCUGGAGAAAAAGAGAAGGAGUAAGGAGAAGCAGAUGGCCGGUCGGUAGUCUUUCCACAUCUCUCUGGGUCAUGCUUGACCUUGGCCUUGCGACUGCAGGGGGUUAGGAGCUGGGGUCUGGGGCUGGGAGAAGUGCUCCUGCCCUCCCCCUCAUCUCCUUUCCUCAACAGCAUGUCCGCCUUUAGAGCCUGCAUGAAGCAGACCA